GGACAGCACAAGCACAAGGAAACUUUUCUUUUAAUUAAAAUGUAAUUAAUUCAUUAGUACCCCCUGCCCAUGGCUGUCAUUCUUAUUUAAGGUGACCCUCAGUUGUCUUUCCAGGCACAGCCUGAGUCACUGUUCCUCAUGUCUCUCUAAUGAUUAUCUUACUUCCUCUGGCAACUUGGCCACAUCUAUAUGACCCAAAUGACCCAUAAGAUUUCUAAAAGAAUCUAGUUUAUGCCAUAGUCUUCUAUCAACCUGUGCUAUUUCAGAAAAAAAAGCUGAUUUGGGUCUUGCUUUCACUUUCCUUAAAGCUUUUCCAGAAGAUCCUGAAGAAAGUGAAUUUUCACCAGGAUGCCCCAAAUCCAAACCUAAGGUCUAUCAGAGGCACCUUGAAAAACUGGCAAUAGGAUCCAUCUACCCAUCCAGAAUGAUUGAAGUCCAGUGGCAAAAGUCAAGAUGACUGGCAAUGCUUGGGAUGCAGUGGAUGACCUCAAGGGCAGCUAGAUGGCAUGAUGGAUAGAGGGCCCCACCUAAAAUCAAGAAGAUUUAUCUUCAUGAGUUCAAAUCUCAAAUCUGUCCUCAGAUCCUUCCUACCCCUAUGACUGGGUAAGUCACUUAAUCCUGUUUCCACUUCCUAAUGUUACAAGUAUUAAAACUGGUCCAUAGGGAGAUAAUAGCUUAGCCAUAUUUACACAGGUGAUAAGGAGAAAGGCUGGGACCAAACUAGCUUCCUUGGAUUCAAAUGUAGUACUCUUUUCACUAAGACAUGCAACCGUUUCCUAAGUCUCUGAACCUCAGUUUCUGAAGACCUCUCAAUUGGUUUCUUUGUAAGAUGAGGGGGCUAGAAAACAUAAUCUUUGCAAUCUACUCUACUUGUAACAUCUACAAUUCUUUGAAUUUCCAAACAAGACAAUAAGAUAAUAGAUUCCGAUCCGGAAAAGGCUGUUAUGUUAGAAGCCAUGGAGUUCAAACAUCCUUCGUUUUUACAGAUGAGGAAA
RNAcentral lists this long non-coding RNA (995 nucleotides) under Monodelphis domestica (gray short-tailed opossum). RNAcentral describes it as "lncRNA (ENSMODG00000038973.1)". Lineage: Eukaryota; Metazoa; Chordata; Mammalia; Didelphimorphia; Didelphidae. The record is from RNAcentral.